UACGAAGGGUGCAAGCGUUAUCCGGAUUUACUGGGUUUAAAGGGUGCGUAGGCGGGCCAUUAAGUCAGUGGUGAAAGCUCCGAGCUUAACUCGGAAACUGCCAUUGAUACUAUUGGUCUUGAAUUCGGUCGAGGUUGGCGGAAUGUGUCGUGUAGCGGUGAAAUGCUUAGAUAUGACACAGAACACCGAUUGCGAAGGCAGCUCGCUACACGAAUAUUGACUCUGAGGCACGAAAGCGUGGGGAUCAAACAGG
This 253-nucleotide ribosomal RNA is filed under the name uncultured bacterium. RNAcentral describes it as "partial 16S ribosomal RNA". It matches the Rfam family "Bacterial small subunit ribosomal RNA", at positions 524 to 776 of the family's 1533-position model. The record is from RNAcentral.